GUAGGGAAUCUUCCACAAUGGACGAAAGUCUGAUGGAGCAACGCCGCGCGAGUGAAGAAGGUCUUCGGAUCGUAAAACUCUGUUGUUAGAGAAGAACGUGCAUGAUAGUAACUGAUCAUGUAAUGACGGUAUCUAACCAGAAAGCCACGGCUAAAUACGUGCAAGCAGCCGCGGUAAUACGUAGGUGGCAAGCGUUGUCCGGAUUUAUUGGGGGUAAAGGGAACGCAGGGGGUUUUUUAAGUCUGAUGUGAAAGCCUUCGGCUUAACCGAAGAAUAGCAUUGGAAACUGGAAGACUUGAGUGCAGAAGAGGAGAGUGGAAUUCCAUGUGUAGCGUUGAAAUGCGUAGAUAUAUGGAGGAACACCAGUGGCGAAGGCGGCUUCCUGGCACAAUACUGACGCUCAUGUGCGAAAGCUAGGGCAGCGAACGGGAUUAGAUACCCCGGUAGUCC
Molecule: ribosomal RNA, 450 nt
Filed under: uncultured bacterium
Lineage: Bacteria
Description: partial 16S ribosomal RNA
Rfam family: Bacterial small subunit ribosomal RNA
Source: RNAcentral